RNAcentral lists this ribosomal RNA (630 nucleotides) under Aspergillus niger. RNAcentral describes it as "eukaryotic LSU rRNA". It matches the Rfam family "Eukaryotic large subunit ribosomal RNA", at positions 22 to 667 of the family's 3401-position model. The record is from RNAcentral. Lineage: Eukaryota; Fungi; Ascomycota; Eurotiomycetes; Eurotiales; Aspergillaceae.
UACCCGCUGAACUUAAGCAUAUCAAUAAGCGGAGGAAAAGAAUCCAACCGGGAUUACCUCAGUAACGGCGAGUGAAGCGGCAAGAGCUCAAAUUUGAAAGCUGGCUCCUUCGGAGUCCGCAUUGUAAUUUGCAGAGGAUGCUUUGGGUGCGGCCCCCGUCUAAGUGCCCUGGAACGGGCCGUCAGAGAGGGUGAGAAUCCCGUCUUGGGCGGGGUGUCCGUGCCCGUGUAAAGCUCCUUCGACGAGUCGAGUUGUUUGGGAAUGCAGCUCUAAAUGGGUGGUAAAUUUCAUCUAAAGCUAAAUACUGGCCGGAGACCGAUAGCGCACAAGUAGAGUGAUCGAAAGAUGAAAAGCACUUUGAAAAGAGAGUUAAACAGCACGUGAAAUUGUUGAAAGGGAAGCGCUUGCGACCAGACUCGCCCGCGGGGUUCAGCCGGCAUUCGUGCCGGUGUACUUCCCCGUGGGCGGGCCAGCGUCGGUUUGGGCGGCCGGUCAAAGGCCCCUGGAAUGUAGUGCCCUCCGGGGCACCUUAUAGCCAGGGGUGCAAUGCGGCCAGCCUGGACCGAGGAACGCGCUUCGGCACGGACGCUGGCAUAAUGGUCGUAAACGACCCGUCUUGAAACACGGACC